Molecule: non-coding RNA, 541 nt
Organism: Pelobates cultripes (western spadefoot toad)
Lineage: Eukaryota; Metazoa; Chordata; Amphibia; Anura; Pelobatidae
Source: the annotation of a GenBank genome assembly
GUGUGUCAGUAUGUCUGUGUGUGUAUGCCAGUAUGUCUGUGUGUGUGUCAGUAUGUCUGUGUGUAUGCCAGUAUGUCUGUGUGUGUGUGUGUGUGUGUCAGUAUGUCUGUGUGUAUGCCAGUAUGUCUGUGUGUAUGCCAGUAUGUCUGUGUGUAUGUGUGUGUGUCAGUAUGUCUGUCUGUAUGCCAGUAUGUCUGUGUGUGUGUGUGUGUCAGUAUGUCUGUGUGUAUGCCAGUAUGUCUGUGUGUGUGUGUGUGUGUCAGUAUGUCUGUGUGUAUGCCAGUAUGUCUGUGUGUGUAUGUCAGUGUGUGUGUGUGCGUCAGUAUGUCUGUGUGUAUGCCAGUAUGUCUGUGUGUGUAUGUCAGUGUGUGUGUGUGUCAGUAUGUCUGUGUGUAUGCCCGUAUGUCUGUGUGUGUGUAUGUAGGUAUGUCUCUGUGUAUGUGUGUGUACGUGUGUGUCAGUAUGUCUGCCAGGAUAUAUUUGUGUGUCAGUGUAUGUGUGUGUCAGUAUGUAUCUGUGAAUGUUUUAAUGUCUGUCUGUG